RNAcentral lists this small RNA (28 nucleotides) under Bombyx mori (domestic silkworm). Its description in RNAcentral is "ovarian small RNA-31917". The record is from RNAcentral. Lineage: Eukaryota; Metazoa; Arthropoda; Insecta; Lepidoptera; Bombycidae.
UGACUCCGAUAUUGGACAUCGUUCGAAA